Molecule: long non-coding RNA, 376 nt
Organism: Monopterus albus (swamp eel)
Lineage: Eukaryota; Metazoa; Chordata; Actinopteri; Synbranchiformes; Synbranchidae
Exons: 4
Source: RefSeq, a predicted model, not a curated record
CAUUGUGAUUUGUUUGUUUACUCAACAGAGAAAACCACAGUCAUAACUGUCGCCAUCAUUGCUGCAGCCAUUGUUCUUGCUCUUGUCCUCGUUGCUGUGAUUGGAUUCUUCAUUUACAAACAGAAGAAAGCCAAGCGCCCUCCAUCUCCUGUGAUCAACCCUGAGGUCAUGGAGCAACUGAAUCCACAAGCCUAAAUGACGACAACACGACCCUGAACACAGUUCAUGGAUAGAUUUUGGACUCCAUUGAGGACUGAUGCCACCAGAUUCUCCUCUUUUAAUCCGGGAAUUCAUUGGUUAUUCAUCAUUCAUAUCAUAAACAGAAUCAGGGUUGUGAAUCUAGUGAUAGAUGCUUAUUGAUUGAAAGACAAGAAAA